AGAGUUGAUCAUGGCUCAGGACGAACGCUGGCAGCGUGCCUAACACAUGCAAGUCGAACGGAACGAAAAGAGCUUGCUCUUGGCGUUAGUGGCGGACGGGUGAGUAACACGUGAGUAACCUGCCUUCAGAGGGGAAUAAUGUCUGGAAACGGACACUAAUACCGCAUAAUGUAUUUUAACCGCAUGGUUGAGAUACCAAAGGAGCAAUCCGCUGAAAGAUGGACUCGCGUCUGAUUAGCCAGUUGGCGGGGUAACGGCCCACCAAAGCGACGAUCAGUAGCCGGACUGAGAGGUUGAACGGCCACAUUGGGACUGAGACACGGCCCAGACUCCUACGGGAGGCAGCAGUGGGGGAUAUUGCACAAUGGGCGCAAGCCUGAUGCAGCAAACCGCCGCGUGCAGGAAGACGGUCUUCGGAUUGUAAACUGUUGUCCUCUGUGACGAUAAUGACGGUAGCAGAGGAGGAAGCCACGGCUAACUACGUGCCAGCAGCUGC
This 496-nucleotide ribosomal RNA is filed under the name uncultured bacterium. RNAcentral describes it as "bacterial SSU rRNA". It matches the Rfam family "Bacterial small subunit ribosomal RNA", at positions 8 to 518 of the family's 1533-position model. The record is from RNAcentral.